CUUCAUUUGCCUGAUGCAGAAGAAAAUUUACAGAGAAGAUAACUGAUCUGUGUUGUCAAAAAAGCUAGUAAUUGUAACUGUCAUUAUUCAACCCAUUCCCAAUACACCACACAAACCCAGUUAAGAGAGUUUCAAUUCCCUUCCCAAUUCUUCCAGGUAAGGUUGUUUUCCAGAAUCCAGAGUCCGAAUUUAACUUGCCCAAAAAACUGUUUUAUUUUCAAAAAUAUCCACAGAAUAGAAGAAGAGAACUAAACCCAGCAAUUCCCAAUUGCGCAUCCUCAACUAUAAAUAACCAUUUUCCUCAUCUUACGUGAGAGCUUUCCAAGCUGGAUUUCUUCCCUCAAUUAGUAAUUUAUUACUAAUUUAGGGCAGUUAGAUCGAUUUGAGCCGUUGAAGAGGGAUAGAGUUGAGGUUUAAAGUAAAUCAUAAAGAAAAUUGAGAAGAUAAACACAUCACAGAUACCAGAUCGUUCGCUGGAGAGCUUAUCGUCGUCAUGGGUUCAUCAGAUUUCACGCUCAAACCUGCUGGCAUAGGUUGUAUUUCAUUUUUUAUUGUCAGAGGAGGGUUUGGGACGUUGGAUCUAAACAGUUAUAAAAAGGCUUAAAUCUUUCAGAGGCGAACUGUGUCAAUUUGGGAUCCCAGGAGAUUUUCAGCCGAAGAGAGACCCCAGAAGACUCAAAUGGGGGAUUCGGAGACAGAAAAUGGAACUUCAAAAGAGA
Macadamia integrifolia is the source of this 719-nucleotide long non-coding RNA. RefSeq lists it as uncharacterized. The transcript has 2 exons. The record is from RefSeq and is a predicted model, not a curated record. Lineage: Eukaryota; Viridiplantae; Streptophyta; Magnoliopsida; Proteales; Proteaceae.